RNAcentral lists this long non-coding RNA (536 nucleotides) under Sus scrofa (pig). RNAcentral describes it as "lncRNA (ENSSSCG00025058269.1, ENSSSCG00070024779.1)". Lineage: Eukaryota; Metazoa; Chordata; Mammalia; Artiodactyla; Suidae. The record is from RNAcentral.
CCAUCCUGUGGUCCUGAAGAGGUGACUUGUGACCAUUAACAGCUGUUGCUGUCGAUUCUGUGCAGACAUUUCUGAAGUCCCUGGAUAAGUCAGGUGGGCUGUGCUAUGUAUGAACUUUCCUAGAAGAGAAGCUGGAGUGUGACCAUGACAUCUGCCAGUGGAAGUGGAGACAGUCACAUCCUCAUUAAGAGGGGGCUCAAACUUCAGUGUGCGUGAGAAUUACUCAGACAGCUUAUUCGGUCACAGAUGGCUGAUUCAGUAGGGCUGAACCAGACUCAGAACACUUGGUCUAUAGGAACCACAGGAGGUUAGAGAAGGGGAAAACCAGCACAGACUCUGGUGGUGGAGAAGUUCAGGUGUGUGUAACAACACCCCUCCUUCCUGCCAUCUGAUCCUACCGAUUCAUCAAGGGCUCAAUGGCCUCCUCCGUGUUCCCGCUUUUCAAAGUGUGAGUCAGCCUCUCUAACUCUGGAUUACUGUCUAAUUUGAUCUGGUCAGUUCUGAAGAUAUUAGGUAAUAUUAGACCCAUCUCCGGC